UACAGAGACUGCAAGCGUUAUUCGGAUUCACUGGGCGUAAAGGGUGCGCAGGCGGUUGCGUGUGUCAGGUGUGAAAUCUCGGGGCUUAACCCCGAAACUGCGCCUGAAACUACGUGACUAGAGCAUUGGAGAGGGUAGCGGAAUUCAUGGUGUAGCAGUGAAAUGCGUAGAUAUCAUGAGGAACACCAGAGGCGAAGGCGGCUACCUGGACAAUUGCUGACGCUCAGGCACGAAAGCGUGGGGAGCAAAAGGGAUUAGAUACCCCCGUAGUCC
RNAcentral lists this ribosomal RNA (273 nucleotides) under uncultured bacterium. RNAcentral's name for it is "partial 16S ribosomal RNA". It matches the Rfam family "Bacterial small subunit ribosomal RNA", at positions 524 to 796 of the family's 1533-position model. The record is from RNAcentral.